GGUUUGAUUCUGGCUCAGAUUGAACGCUGGCGGGAGCGUUUUACACAUGCAAGUCGAACGGCAGCACGGACUUCGGUCUGGUGGCGAGUGGCGAACGGGUGAGUAAUGUAUCGGAACGCCUAGUAGCGGGGGAUAACUUCAUGAAAGCGUAGCUUACCACCGGCAUACGCCCUUCGGGGGAAAGCGGGGACCUUCGGGCCUUCCGCACUAUUAGAGCGUCGAUAUCGGAUUAGCUAGUUGGUGGGCAACGGUUCACCAAGGCGACGAUCCGUAGCUGGUUUGAGAGGACGACCAGCCACACCGGGACUGAGACACGGCCCAGACUCUACGGGAGGCAGCAGUGGGGAAUUUUGGACAAUGGGGAAACCCCUGAUCCACAUCCGGCGUGCGAUGAAGGCCUUCGGGUUGUAAAGCACUUUUGCAGGAAAGAAACGGCACGGGAUAAUACCCUGUGCAACUGACGGUACCUGCAGAAUAAGCACCGGUUAACUACGCUGCACAGCAGCCGCGGUAAUACGUAGGGUGUAAGCGUUAAUCGAACUACUGGGCGUAAAGCGUGCGCAGGCGCCCGGAAAGAAAGAUGAAUCCAGAGCUUAACUUGGAACUGCAUUUUUAACUACCGAGCUAGAGGUCAGAGAGGUGGAAUUCCCGCGUGUAGCAGAAAUGCGUAGAUAUGCGAGAACACCGAUGGCGAAGGCAGCCCCCUGGGAUAACACUGACGCUCAUGCACGAGCGGAGCAAACAGGAUUAGAUACCCUGGUAGUCCACGCCCUAAACGAUGUCAACUAGCGUUGGGGCCUUCGCCUUUGUAGCGCAGCUAACGCGUGAAGUUGACCGCCUGGGGAGUACGGUCGCAAGAUUAAAACCCAAAGGAAUUCGACGGGGACCAUACGCUGGUGGAUGAUGUGGGAUUUUCACCCGAUGCGAACGCGAAAACCUUACCUACCCUUGACAUGUCUGGAAUCCCGAAGAGAUUUGGGAGUGCCUGCAAGAGAACCGGAACACAGGUGUGCUGCAUGGCCGUCGUCAGCUCGUGUCGUGAGAUGUUAAGUUAAGUCCCGCAACGAGCGCAACCCUUGUCAUUAGCAAGGCUUAAAGGCACUUAAUGAGACUCGCCGGUGACAAACUGGAGGAAGGUGGGAUGACGUCAAGUCCUCAUGGCCCUUAUGGGUAGGGCUUCACACGUCAUACAAUGGUCGGGACAGAGGGUCGCCAACCCGCGAGGGGGAGCCAAUCCAGAAACCCGAUCGUAGUCCGGAUCGCAGUCUGCAACUCGACUGCGUGAAGUCGGAAUCGCCAGUAAUCGCGGAUCAGUGGCUGUCGCGGUGAAUACGUUCCGGUCUUGUACACACCGCUCACACCAUGGGAGUGGGUUUACCAGAAGUAGUUAGCCUGAACUGCAGGAGGGCGAUUACCACGGUAGGAUUCAUGGCUGGGGUGAAGUCGUAACAAGGUAG
This 1457-nucleotide ribosomal RNA is filed under the name uncultured Bordetella sp. Its description in RNAcentral is "partial 16S-23S ribosomal RNA intergenic spacer". It matches the Rfam family "Bacterial small subunit ribosomal RNA". The record is from RNAcentral. Lineage: Bacteria; Pseudomonadati; Pseudomonadota; Betaproteobacteria; Burkholderiales; Alcaligenaceae.